AACGAACGCUGGCGGCAUGCCUAACACAUGCAAGUCGAACGAGACCUUCGGGUCUAGUGGCGCACGGGUGCGUAACGCGUGGGAACCUGCCCUUAGGUUCGGAAUAACUCCCCGAAAGGGGUGCUAAUACCGGAUAAUGUCUUCGGACCAAAGAUUUAUCGCCUUUGGAUGGGCCCGCGUUGGAUUAGCGAGUUGGUAGGGUAAAAGCCUACCAAGGCGACGAUCCAUAGCUGGUCUGAGAGGAUGAUCAGCCACACUGGGACUGAGACACGGCCCAGACUCCUACGGGAGGCAGCAGUGGGGAAUAUUGGGCAAUGGGCGAAAGCCUGAUCCAGCAAUGCCGCGGGAGUGAUGAAGGCCGUAGGGUUGUAAAGCUCUUUUACCCGGGAUGAUAAUGACAGUACCGGGAGAAUAAGCUCCGGCUAACUCCGUG
This 433-nucleotide ribosomal RNA is filed under the name uncultured bacterium. RNAcentral's name for it is "partial 16S ribosomal RNA". It matches the Rfam family "Bacterial small subunit ribosomal RNA", at positions 29 to 507 of the family's 1533-position model. The record is from RNAcentral.